RNAcentral lists this unclassified non-coding RNA (1916 nucleotides) under Diabrotica virgifera virgifera (western corn rootworm). Its description in RNAcentral is "uncharacterized LOC114338408". The record is from RNAcentral. Lineage: Eukaryota; Metazoa; Arthropoda; Insecta; Coleoptera; Chrysomelidae.
UAAAACUGUCUGUACUUUAUCAUUAUUAUUUAAAAUGUUAAUCAUUUUAGUUUUUCUUGAUUUCACAAGUAGGUAACAUGUUUAGAUUUACAGCCAAUCUAUAGCGGACUGUGUGAAAAUGGAGUAAAAAUAGAAAAAUUUGCAAUUAAAAGAUUUUCUGUGAGAAGAAGUUUCAAGUCGACCAACAUUCAAAAACUGCUACUCAUAAGUUGAAGCUAAAAAAGAUUGCAUUAGGACCCGUUCAGCAGUCCAUUCAUACAUCUCUUCAAAAUGUUCAAGAUCAAGAUGAAUCAGAAAAAGAAAAACGUUUGUUUAAUCAAGACCUGUGUAAAGCUUUGUUGGAGCAAACAUUCCGUUAAAAAAAUUACAAAAUAUACAUUUUAGGCAAUUUUUGCAAAAAUACUGUAACUUCAAUAUUCCUAACGAGGCAACGCUAAGAAAGGGCAAUGUGAAUGCAUUGUAUGAUUUUGCCAACAGAAAUAAAAAGUGAACAUUUUUUAAUAUUUUUAUCAGAUGCCGCUCCGUAUAUGGUAAAAGUAGGACAAAAUUUGAAAAUAUUUUACUCAAAUAUUCACACGUCACUUGUCUUUUACAUGGCAUAAACAGAGUAGCAGAAGUUCUUAGAGGUGAAUUUGAUUUAGUCAAUAAAUUAAUUUCAAACGUUAAAAAAGUAUUUUUGAAAGCACCUUUACGUGUGCAAAUGUAUAAAGAAAAAUUAUCAGGUGUAAACUUGCCUCCAGAGCCCGUAAUUACAACAUGGGGAACAUGGAUCAAAGCAGCAAUUUUCUACGCAAAUCAUUUUGAUGCCAUAAAAGACGUUGUGUUAGAUAUUCAAAAUGACUUGCAGUGUGUAACUGAAAGUCAAGAGCUUUUAAGUAACGUACAAAUUGCUAAAGACCUUAUGUUCAUAAAAGUUAAUUUUAGUUUUUUACCAGAUCUAAUAAAGUCAUUGUCAUUAGAACAAAGGAAUUUACAAUUAAGUGAUUCGGUUAAUCUUGUUACACUUUUUCUGCUCAUUGUCAAAAAAUUCCCGGAAAUACAGGGAUUACAAUUAGAAAUAAAUUAAAAAAUGUUUUAGAAAAAAAUGAGGGCUUCGAUUGUUUGAGGAAAGAUGUACGUAUUUUUGAAGGCAACUUUUCUGAAGAUCUUACGACUUGGCAAAUUAGUUUACUGCUUAUAAUAUAACAUCAGUAGAUGUAGAACAAACUUUUUCUGUGUCCAAACACGUUUUUAGUGAUAGAAGGCAAAAGUUGCUAGUUGAAAAUUUUGAAAAAUAUUUGAUUAUAAAUUCAUACUAUAAUUUAGAUUCUUAAUUUAAUUAUAAUAUCAGUUUUUGUGUGUCAUUUCAUUUGUUUUUAUGUGAAAAAUAAAUAUGUAUUAAACAUAAAUGUAGGUUGAAUUUUUUAAACAUAAAUGUUUAUAUUUAAUAUAUUGUUUUAUUUUUGAGUAUUUUUAAUAUGCAUUUGCAUAUUUAGACAAAUUUAGAAAAAAUACCUGCAUAUUUGUAGUAAAAGUAAUGCAUAUAUAUGCGCAUAUUUUUUAAUGUUGUGUUGCAUAUAUUCCGCUCUCUAAUGAUAACCUACUUUAAAAAAUCUACCAAGUACACUUUUAUUACAAAAAGAUUCCAUAAUAUUAAUUUUAGGGCUCUUAUUGUACAUUAUAGUCCAGUUAUUAGAUCAGAUUUGUAUACCUAGUUCCUUCCAUUCACCAUUUCAGUAACUGUUUUGAAAAACAUGAAUUUAACUGUAUUUUAACAAAUAAAAUUAGGCUUAAUAUUACUGACCACAUUAUCAAAAUUGAGCAUAAUGGUGUUUUAAACAUUGUCAGUUAAUGAUAUUUUUUCAUUUGUAAAUUAGUCUUAUUUUGUGUUUACGACUGUAUUAAAUAAAUACCAAAUUUUCAUUUGUUUUUCAUUA